GGAUUAGAUACCCUGGUAGUCCACGCCCUAAACGAUGUCUACUAGUUGUCGGGUCUUAAUUGACUUGGUAACGCAGCUAACGCGUGAAGUAGACCGCCUGGGGAGUACGGUCGCAAGAUUAAAACUCAAAGGAAUUGACGGGGACCCGCACAAGCGGUGGAUGAUGUGGAUUAAUUCGAUGCAACGCGAAAAACCUUACCUACCCUUGACAUGGCUGGAAUCCUUGAGAGAUCAGGGAGUGCUCGAAAGAGAACCAGUACACAGGUGCUGCAUGGCUGUCGUCAGCUCGUGCCG
RNAcentral lists this ribosomal RNA (294 nucleotides) under uncultured bacterium. RNAcentral's name for it is "partial 16S ribosomal RNA". It matches the Rfam family "Bacterial small subunit ribosomal RNA", at positions 775 to 1067 of the family's 1533-position model. The record is from RNAcentral.